Onychostoma macrolepis is the source of this 1776-nucleotide long non-coding RNA. RefSeq lists it as uncharacterized. The record is from RefSeq and is a predicted model, not a curated record. The transcript has 5 exons. NCBI's taxonomy places the organism in Eukaryota, Metazoa, Chordata, Actinopteri, Cypriniformes, Cyprinidae.
CUUUACACCUCUGGAUGCAUGGACUACUAAUAUUAAGGGCUUUAUUAGGGAUUUUAUUGAUGAUUUGACCAGUAAACUUUCAUAUCCUCAUCAUAUGUCUUAAUAUCUGAUGAAAUAUAAAAACAAGUGAUGGUAUUAAAUGAAGCGAACAUAGGAGUGAAUUUUAAAUAGUCUCAAUACUUUGGUUAAGGAUUUCUUUUUUGUCAUGUUUGCAUUAACCUCUUACAUGAAAAACUGGCAAUUCAUUAAGAAAUAUUCCAGACUAAACAUGUUUAAACUCAGGUCUACUUAAUUAUCCAUACAUGAUUUUUGGAAAAAAAUCAUGUUAAAAUGUAUCAAAAAUGAUACAUCAGACUUUCAAGGAACAUUUAUUUGUUCAUCUGUCAAUCAUCAUUGUAUUGUAUUGCAUUACAUGUUCUGAAAGAUCGUAAAGCUAAGCAUUUACAUAUCAUCUUUACUGGGAACUAUAGAGAAAACUGGUGUUUACAGUAUAUGUGUUGUGUAAGUCUGUAUAUUGUUCUAAAGUUCUCAAUUAAUUUCUCUAGUUGAAAUACUUUUGAAUUUCCGAGUUUUUCCAAUAUCAUUUCCCUUCCUUUAGUCUUUUGUGAACUGAUCCCUUUAACUAAAGCCAAUUCUGUGAUGACAUCAUCGCAUGGGAAGUGACAUCAUUUUGGAGGGAAAGCAACAUCACCGGCAUUAACGCUGUUGAUAGAGCUUAACUCAUCCUGAAGCCGGAACAUUCCCGUAGCAGCAGAAGUGCUGGAAUGCCACAUGGUUUUAAUGCCCCACCCAGCGCUGUAAGGAUGACAUGCAGUGCCCCGACCCCCCGCCUCCGGAGCUUGAAUGUCUCAGUCUUCCUUCUUUGCAACUGUAAAGAGCAUCCAGCAUGAUGAAUUCAAAUCCAGAAGAUAGAAAGUCAUACGGGUUUGGUUUGGAACAACUUUGUGGAAAAGGCUGCUGCUGUGGAAACAGUCCCUGCACAGAGGAAGUGAUCUCACUGCACCUGUGAGGACGAGGAUGAACACACACACACUUCCCAUGCAGCUGUGUGCCGUUGGAUUUUAACAGGAAGUAAUGGAGACAUCAGUGACAGUUCACAGUUACCCCUGGCUGUCAAACAAGGACCAAAAACUCCAUGAAAGAGCCAUAAAAAUAGUUCAUGGAGUCUGACAGGACGUGGUCACUAUGAAGUGUUGUUGUAUGGAAAAGUGGAACAUGUACAUCUGUAAGAGCUGUCAUAACAUCACACCGCACACACAGUGCUGGAGGCUCAUGGAGGGAAGAUUUUCCACUACACUUCACUUCCAGACCCUAGAUGGACGCGGAGAGAAAGAUAGUGGCCUUCAUACGUUCCUCCAUUGAUUUAUUUUCAUUUUUACGCACGCUGCACGUCACCACAGAAGUUUACAAAGACUUGUGGCUGUAUGGGAAAGAUGUCUACACUGUUUCAGAUACGUUUGGAAUGAUGCAAAUAUCUCUGGCAUGAUUUGCAAAGUUUUAAAGAUGAUGCAGGGCUACACGAUAUUGAAAGAAAAAAAAAAAAGAAAAAAAAACCUGACAUUGCAAUGUUUUUUUUAUCUGUAAUAUCUAUUGCAAUAUGAAAAAAUACAGGAAUUUUUAGCAGAUGACUUGAAUAACUUUGGAAAGAAUUAAUUAUUCUAGAAAAAGUGGGGUGAUUUUUUUAGAGAGUGCAUCUACAUAGAAAAUAACAAAUGUAAAAAUUGACACAAUUAUACUUAUGUUUAACCAAGGUUCAACCUCUUUUUUAUUUUUUUA